CCUACGGGAGGCAGCAGUGGGGAAUAUUGCACAAUGGGGGCAACCCUGAUGCAGCGACGCCGCGUGAAGGAUGAAGUAUCUCGGUAUGUUAACCUCUAUCAGCAGGGAAGAAAAUGCCGGUACCUGACUCAGACGCAACGGCUAACUACGUGCAAGCAGCCGCGGUAAUACGUAGGGGGCAAGCGUUAUCCGGAUUUGCUGGGUGUAAAGGGAGCGUAGACGGCUUGGCAAGUCGGAUGUGAAUACCCGGGGCUCAACCUCGGGACUACAGUGGAAACUGUCAGGCUAGAGUGGCGGAGAGGCAAGUGGAAUUCCUAGUGUAGCGGUGAAAUGCGUAGAUAUUAGGAGGAACACCAGGGGCGAAGGCGGCUUGCUGGACGAUGACUGACGUUGAGGCACGAAAGCGUGGGGAGCAAACAGGAUUAGAUACCCCAGUAGUC
Molecule: ribosomal RNA, 440 nt
Filed under: uncultured bacterium
Lineage: Bacteria
Description: partial 16S ribosomal RNA
Rfam family: Bacterial small subunit ribosomal RNA
Source: RNAcentral